This 2538-nucleotide long non-coding RNA is filed under the name Monodelphis domestica (gray short-tailed opossum). Its description in RNAcentral is "lncRNA (ENSMODG00000044281.1)". Lineage: Eukaryota; Metazoa; Chordata; Mammalia; Didelphimorphia; Didelphidae. The record is from RNAcentral.
AAUCUCAUUUUUGACUUUUGAAGGUGGCCUGGAAUGCAAACAAUUAACUUAGGAGACAUUUAAAAAGUCCACAACCUGUAGGUAACAUUUUUGUGGAGAGGAGGAAUUGAAAGAAAGGAAUAAAAAGAGCCAGGAAAAAAAGGGAAGAAAAACCCCAACAACAAAGAAAAGGAACUAGAGAAGAAAUUAUGCCAGUCCAGAUUGCAGCUCUCCAACUGUGGCUAAACUGAUUGCUUGCCUGACAUUAUAAGGCCGAUUACACCCUCCCCAGAGGAAUAUUAUAAACAAGGAUUUACAAUCAAAAUAUUUUUAUUUGUUUGAAAAUUAAUUUGGCAAGGCAGAAGAUCAGAGGUAUAAAGCAGAUGGAAAAAUCAGCCUGCUCUCUUUGCCUUUAAGGAAGCAGCUGUAGAGCAGCAGAAAAUGGAAUAAAAAUGUCACUUGUGCCCUGAAGCUCCCGUAAAAAGAAGACAAUACAGCUCCUUCUUUCUCUCCCUCCCCCAGUCCUGCUCCCUCCAAACACAAAAGCUACUCUCUCCUCCAGCAGGUAUUAAACAUUAAUGGCCAUUCCUGUAAUAAGGUGCAGAGAACGACUCCCUACAGUUCAGCUGCCCAAUCAUUUGGGUUUGGGGAGGUCCUCAGCCCAGCACUCAUUGGAAUUGAUUUUGUCUUCCUGUUUUCCUUGCUACAGCCUUCGGGCUGAAAGUAACUAAACACUUCUUUUCUCAUUCCGCUUCACUGAAAUAUUUAUCUGAUUAUCUGUUUGAUGAAAAGGUUAUUGCAAGAAUAAUGAUGACUUGCUCCCUGCAUAUAUUCAAACAUGAAGAGGAUAAAGAAAACUUCAUGGGUAGAAUGAUACAGAUGCCUUUCUGAUGCUGUCUUGUGAAUAAAUAACACAGAGCACUGUGAGAAAUUAUAGCCUAGGAGAAAGAAGACUGUAUACAUGGAACCACAGUGGCCAAAUGGGAGGAAAUCAAUCAAGCAAACCAGAUUUUCCAGUGAGUUAAAAUGUCAUAACUAUUGUGGAUCAUUGGAUGUCUUAUCCUCACACAACUCUUCUGUGUUGACUAUGUUUGAAGAAUGGAUGAGAGAGGAACACCCAGUUGGUUUCUUUGUGGCAAGCCAAAGUGGUUUAAAAGGAACAGCGUUCCAACCCACACUUAAAAAUGCCCUGAAACACAGCUUCCAACAACAACCGCAGGAGCCAGAGCAGCCUGGUGGGCAGGAGGUGGGGAUGUGAUGACUCUUUUUCACAGAAGACUUGUCUAACCAUGGCUCUUAGGAACUGAGCUGCAGGAUGAUGGCAAGGACUGAAUCCUGGGCUCCAUAUCCCAGAAUGGCUCCCUUGCGUGCUAGGUAUACAUCCUGUCCUUACGCACACCUGUAUGCUGAGUAACCAUCAGGAGUGUCCUCUAAGUACCAAUAUGACUGUGGCACACACAUAUGCCUUCAGUUAAAGGGAGACUGCCCUUAAGAAGAGCCUCUCAACACCCAGGCAACCAUUCUCACCCUAUCCAGGACAGGCUUCCAGGUUAUUUAUAUUGAAAGGUUUCCCCAAGUACCCAGAAAACUCUACAAGUUCUCUGUAACACCAGCCACAUCCCUUCCUGCAGUAUGCAGCUUUGCAAAAUCCUAAUAUGCCCCCGUCGUGGCUAAUAUUGUUGUUAAUAUAAUCAGAAGGCAACUACUUGAUGGAAGCCAAACACUUGGUGUGCUUAUUAGGAGGUUCUCCUCCUGUUAUUCCUAACGAGGGAGCCCCACUGGAGCGUUGUAACUCCCUAUCCUGGAUAACAAAGCUGGACUUGUCAAAAGCUGAUCAAUACAGACACUGGCACCAUCAGACAAUAGACUUGUGCUAAUUAAUAUUUAAUGGGCCCAUGGAUUUUUCCUUAGCAGCUGGGGUGCUAAAUAAUAGUCAAUUAGCAAACGUGUUAAUUAACUCUAAUUACACAGCACACAGCGACUUCUCCAAGGACUUUUACUUCAGAUCUCCAUGUAAUGUUCCCCCACUCAUCUUAAUCACACCAGGCAGCUAAUUAAUUGGUAAGUAAUUUUUUCUUUUUGUUUCCCCCAAACAUGUAUUUUAAAAAUCAGAGCUGAGAUUCGUUUUACUCUUAGAUGUUAUUUUUAAAAGUCACCAAGAACAAAACCAGGUUUUAUUCAUGUAGUGUUCUUUCAAACACUCUGCCAACUUUCUCCCUCCCCACCCUGGCGAUUUCUUCUAGAGAGGAGGGGGAGGGGGAGAGAGAGAGAAAGAGAGACAGACAGAGACGGGGAGAGAAAGAUUGGCAGACAGAAAUGGAUAAGGAGAGAUAGACAGACAGACGAAGGCAGAUAAACAGAGACAGACACAGAGAGGAGGGAGAGAAAGACAGUCAGCUGGGAAGAGGGGCAAGAAGAGAGGCGAGAAGGUGACUGAAGGAGGGAAGGGGAGACAGAGACAGAGAGGGAGACAGAAACAGAGAGAGACAGAGAGAGUUAGAAAGAAGAGAGAGAAAGAGAAAGAAUAAAGAAGAAGUUGGGAGAGAGAGAGAGAGAGAG